UAAUACGAAGGGGGCUAGCGUUGUUCGGAAUUACUGGGCGUAAAGCGCGCGCAGGCGGUCUUUCAAGUCAGUGGUGAAAGCCCGGAGCUCAACUCCGGAAAUGCCAUUGAAACUGUAAGACUUGAGGAUGAGAGAGGUGAGUGGAAUUCCCAGUGUAGAGGUGAAAUUCGUAGAUAUUGGGAAGAACACCGGUGGCGAAGGCGGCUCACUGGCUCAUUUCUGACGCUCAGGCGCGACAGCGUGGGGAUCAAACAGGAUUAGAUACCCUGGUAGUCCACGCCGUAAACGAUGAAUGCUAGCCGUUGGGCAGCUUGCUGUUCAGUGGCGCAGCUAACGCAUUAAGCAUUCCGCCUGGGGAGUACGGCCGCAAGGUUG
Molecule: ribosomal RNA, 375 nt
Filed under: uncultured bacterium
Lineage: Bacteria
Description: bacterial SSU rRNA
Rfam family: Bacterial small subunit ribosomal RNA
Source: RNAcentral